This 253-nucleotide ribosomal RNA is filed under the name uncultured bacterium. Its description in RNAcentral is "partial 16S ribosomal RNA". It matches the Rfam family "Bacterial small subunit ribosomal RNA", at positions 524 to 776 of the family's 1533-position model. The record is from RNAcentral.
GACGUAGGGCGCGAGCGUUGUUCGGAUUUAUUGGGCGUAAAGCGCGUGUAGGCGGUUUCUUAAGUCUGAUGUGAAAGCCCUGGGCUCAACCCAGGAAGUGCAUUGGAUACUGGGAGACUUGAAUACGGGAGAGGGUAGUGGAAUUCCUAGUGUAGGAGUGAAAUCCGUAGAUAUUAGGAGGAACACCGGUGGCGAAGGCGGCUACCUGGACCGAUAUUGACGCUGAGACGCGAAAGCGUGGGGAGCAAACAGG